GAUGAACGCUGGCGGCGUGCUUAACACAUGCAAGUCGAACGGAAAGGCUCCUGCUUGCAGGGGUACUCGAGUGGCGAACGGGUGAGUAACACGUGGGUGAUCUGCCCUGCACUUCGGGAUAAGCCUGGGAAACUGGGUCUAAUACCGGAUAGGACCACAUUUUGGAUGGUGUGGUGGAAAGUUUUUCGGUGUGGGAUGAGCUCGCGGCCUAUCAGCUUGUUGGUGGGGUAAUGGCCUACCAAGGCGUCGACGGGUAGCCGGCCUGAGAGGGUGUACGGCCACAUUGGGACUGAGAUACGGCCCAGACUCCUACGGGAGGCAGCAGGGGGGAAUAUUGCACAAUGGGCGCAAGCCUGAUGCAGCGACGCCGGGUGGGGGAUGACGGCCUUCGGGUUGUAAACUCCUUUCGCUAGGGACGAAGCGCAAGUGACGGUACCUGGAGAAGAAGCACCAGCUAACUACGUG
RNAcentral lists this ribosomal RNA (465 nucleotides) under uncultured bacterium. RNAcentral describes it as "partial 16S ribosomal RNA". It matches the Rfam family "Bacterial small subunit ribosomal RNA", at positions 28 to 507 of the family's 1533-position model. The record is from RNAcentral.